CUGUGUUUUUAAUGUCAACCGUGUGCGUAAAUAAGUUAGCAUGUAUCUUAAAAUAGACAUACAGAGUAUAACUAUAUAUAGUGAAUAUUUAGUGAAUACUUUGUUUCUGUUUAAUAGAAAGUCGAUAACAGCGACGCUGUUUGCGGCGAUUUGCAACGAUUUACAGCACUCUUUUGCGUAUGCGUAAACGAGCCGUCCGUACUGCAAAUCUGCGCAUAUGACGUUUGUCCAACUGGUGUUGCCGUUUGGCCCUGUCCAAGAUGGCGACCGCUCGCGCGUGCGAAAGUCAAGCAGUACUACUUCAACUCGGCCUGAUGACUCUAUUUUUGGUUACAUUUUAAUAUUUUCAGAUAGAUAGAUCGUUAGAAAUAAUUUUGUUGAUCCCUCGGAAGUUCACUUCGAGAAAGUAAGGAAGCAGUUCGUAAGUUCCGUACAGUAAAUUGUUUUGGCAGCGUUUUGUCUUUUUUAAAAUUUCGUCAACUUUUACUCAUGAUGACGUCAACAUAUCGGAGCACUCCCCUCCCCAUCUCGUGUUCGGUUGCGGUUGAGGAAGAGACCAGUUUGAACAUGCGCUUGUUUUUGGGCCGGCUGUUGAACAUCUCCAGAGAAUACUGGACUGCAGCCUGGAUCUCAGCAGAGUCUGGACUCCUGUCAACCCAGCCACCCAGAACAGUACUGCGUACUGAAGUACUGAAGCAAUCGUCUGUGCCCAGCUGCUGUACUACAGUGUAGUUGGUUGGUGGUUCAAUUCUGCUGUGCUCUGUCAAAGUCUGUUCUGGCUGGUGGAACCUGGCAGUCGAUGUUUUCUCAGGGAAUGACUCAGUGUUCCCAACCUCACCAACGGUUCUCCUCUGCAGAAACCGCUCUCCCUUUUCCACCCUGAUGUCACUGUGGACACACCCAGUGACCGAGUGUUGUUGUGAUGGUGUGUGUGAUUGUUGAGGACCAACACCUAUACAAUAGUAGUACUGUGUAGUACUGUGGUACCCUGUGUGUGUUGAAUGUAGUCGUCUCUUAUCUGAAGUGGGUGUGCUGUAGUGUAGUGUACAGCUGGGACUGGAACAGUCAACUCUACCACACUGGUUUACACAUGACACGAGGUCCGUGAACAACAACCUAUUUUUUUUACCUCUGAAAAAGAAAGAAAAUAAAAAAAGUAAAUGCACAUUCUGUGGUUUUUUUAUAUUUUAUUCUAAUGUAAAUUUCUUCUUAUUGAACAUCUCAUGUCCGUGUACAUGAGCGUGUGACCAAUAAGCCUUCAGCACUGAAGUGACGUGAUGUUUGGAUCUUUUUAUAUGCAAUUUUAACCCUGUCCAUGAAAAAAGUUGACAUAAAAUAGUGUUGACUUGAUAAAAAAUAAAGUGUUGACAGAGACUGGUGUCAAACUCAGGGUCGGGGUCGGGGUCAGGUACAGGUACUUACUAAUAAUGUCCAGCUCUUUAACUGGUUUCAUGAUGUCCCUAACUCUCUGGGUCAACAUCCACCAGAUACAUGUAUAUAUACACGCAUACAUGUUAUAUAUACAGUAUAUGCUUUUUUAUUCAUUUUUUUAAAACAAUGUUAUAAACAGAAUUGUGGCUUUUUUGUGGAUUUUGUCAUAAAGUUUAAUAAACAACUUAGUCCAAAAAACUUUUUUUUUGAGUCAAUAUUUUAGAAUAUUGAAUGUUCUGUUUGUCCGAAAAGCAUGUCCCUGCUGUGAUAAUAAAACCGUGGUCCAUGGUCCUGCUGUGACGUGUCCAUAAAAGGUGUUGUUUUCGUAUCA
This is a long non-coding RNA of Cynoglossus semilaevis (tongue sole), 1762 nucleotides long. RefSeq lists it as uncharacterized. The transcript has 4 exons. The record is from RefSeq and is a predicted model, not a curated record. NCBI's taxonomy places the organism in Eukaryota, Metazoa, Chordata, Actinopteri, Pleuronectiformes, Cynoglossidae.